ACUAUCUGUCCCUUAACUAAAACUGUAGCUCCUCUUAAACACUAUCUGUCCCAAAACUAAAACUGUAGCUCCUCUUAACCACUAUCUGUCCCAAAACUCAAACUGUAAUCAUCUGUCCCUUAACUAAAACUGUAGCUCCUCUUAACCACUAUCUGUCCCAAAACUCAAACUGUAAUCAUCUGUCCCUUAACUAAAACUGUAGCUCCUCUUAACCACUGUCUGUCCCAAAACUAAAACUGUAGCUCCUUUUAACCACUAUCUGUCCCAAAACUGUAACUAUCUGUCCCAAACUAAAACUGUAGCUCCUCUUAAACACUAUCUGUCCCAAAACUAAAACUGUAGUUCCUCUUAACCACUAUCUGUCCCAAAACUCAAACUGUAACAAUCUGUCCCAAACUUAAAACUGGUGGUUCGACUUGGGAGUAGUUUCUGUUUGGACUAUCUGAAUGGUUGGCAAUGUUUUGAUUUUCGAGAUUGGAGGGUCAGGAAGAGCCAAAAAGUUAAUCUCAGCAACCAAAAACAUUUGCGACACACUCUUGGCUGUCUGUGUUGAGGUGCAGUACACAGAUUGGACCGCUAGAUGGGGGUGUUGUAUCGGCGGUAGUGAGUGGUUUACCCCUCUGAGAUUCUCUGCUAUUGGCUAGGCAAAGGCUACAGCUAAUAACGUUUACAGAAGAAACUUGUGGGCAGCGCUAGCUCCGAGCUAGUGUAGCAUGAUGCUAACGCUACAUGAUAUAAUAGCUAAAAUGCUAAUCCCCUAAUCUGCAGCUGGGGGAUGGAUGGAUGGAUGGACGAACAGAGAGCGUUAAUGAAAGAGGGAUGAUGUGGAAAUGACAUCACAGACAGAGCAAGCUGUCAUUGGUCAGGAUGAGUUAUUGACCUCUGACCCUGUAGUCGUCCAAUUGACAUCCUGCGCUGGUGUGGGGGCAGGGUCAGCCCAUAUGUGGACUAUAAUCAACUCUGUGUGAUGCACUGCACUGCUCCGGACGUGGCUUUCUAGGAACCACACAAAACACACAGACAAGUACAGUACAUUCUCAGACUCUGUCUCACUCUGUGUGUGUGUCUCUC
Oncorhynchus tshawytscha (Chinook salmon) is the source of this 1071-nucleotide long non-coding RNA. NCBI's taxonomy places the organism in Eukaryota, Metazoa, Chordata, Actinopteri, Salmoniformes, Salmonidae. The record is from Ensembl.